Molecule: ribosomal RNA, 471 nt
Filed under: uncultured bacterium
Lineage: Bacteria
Description: bacterial SSU rRNA
Rfam family: Bacterial small subunit ribosomal RNA
Source: RNAcentral
UCGGGAAUUUUGGGCAAUGGGCGCAAGCCUGAUCCAGCCAUGCCGCGUGAGUGAAGAAGGCCUUCGGGUUGUAAAGCUCUUUCAGCAGGAACGAAACGGUCGGCUUUAAUAAAGUCGGCUAAUGACGGUACCUGCAGAAGAAGCACCGGCUAACUACGUGCCAGCAGCCGCGGUAAUACGUAGGGUGCGAGCGUUAAUCGGAAUUACUGGGCGUAAAGCGUGCGCAGGCGGCGACAUAAGACAGAUGUGAAAUCCCCGGGCUCAACCUGGGAACUGCGUUUGUGACUGUGUUGCUAGAGUGUAGCAGAGGGGGUGGAAUUCCACGUGUAGCAGUGAAAUGCGUAGAGAUGUGGAGGAACACCGAUGGCGAAGGCAGCCCCCUGGGUUAACACUGACGCUCAUGCACGAAAGCGUGGGGAGCAAACAGGAUUAGAUACCCUGGUAGUCCCUGAGCGGGCUGGCAAGGCGCAU